GAGUGUAGCUUAGUGGUAAGGUAUGUGCUUAGCAGGCACAAGGCCCUAGGUUCUAUACCCAGCACUC
This 67-nucleotide transfer RNA is filed under the name Urocitellus parryii (Arctic ground squirrel). RNAcentral describes it as "Spermophilus parryii (Arctic ground squirrel) tRNA". It matches the Rfam family "tRNA". From Rfam's summary of the family: Transfer RNA (tRNA) molecules are approximately 80 nucleotides in length. Their secondary structure includes four short double-helical elements and three loops (D, anti-codon, and T loops). Lineage: Eukaryota; Metazoa; Chordata; Mammalia; Rodentia; Sciuridae. RNAcentral also lists the same sequence under 2 other names. The record is from Rfam by way of RNAcentral.